RNAcentral lists this ribosomal RNA (465 nucleotides) under uncultured bacterium. RNAcentral describes it as "partial 16S ribosomal RNA". It matches the Rfam family "Bacterial small subunit ribosomal RNA", at positions 28 to 507 of the family's 1533-position model. The record is from RNAcentral.
GAUGAACGCUGGCGGCGUGCUUAACACAUGCAAGUCGAACGGAAAGGCUCCUGCUUGCAGGGGUACUCGAGUGGCGAACGGGUGAGUAACACGUGGGUGAUCUGCCCUGCACUUCGGGAUAAGCCUGGGAAACUGGGUCUAAUACCGGAUAGGACGAUGGUUUGGAUGCCAUUGUGGAAAGUUUUUCGGUGUGGGAUGAGCUCGCGGCCUAUCAGCUUGUUGGUGGGGUAAUGGCCUACCAAGGCGUCGACGGGUAGCCGGCCUGGGAGGGUGUACGGCCACAUUGGGACUGAGAUACGGACCAGACUCCUACGGGAGGCAGCAGUGGGGAAUAUUGCACAAUGGGGGCAAGCCUGAUGCAGCGACGCCGCGUGGGGGAUGACGGCCUUCGGGUUGUAAACUCCUUUCGCUAGGGACGAAGCGCAAGUGACGGUACCUGGAGAAGAAGCACCGGCUAACUACGUG